CCGUGAGGGAAAGAUGAAAAGCACUUUGAAAAGAGAGUUAAACAGUACGUGAAACCGUUAAAAGGGAAACGGAUGGGGUCAGCAAUGCGCUGCGCGAGAUUCAGCCGGGCGUCGUGUCGGGCGGGCGGUUUGCGGAUCCGAAUGGACCGCGGCCGCCCGGUUCGACGCUUCGACCGUCGCACUUCUCGCCAGCGCGCGCCAGCGUCGGUUGGCACCGGGUCUUAAAGUCACGGGCAAGGUAGGCGGCCUCCUUCGGGAGGGCGCUGUUACAGGCCCGAGUCGCAUGGCCCGGGGCCGACCGAGGUGUCGCGGCGCGUGCCUCCCUUCGGGGUUGGCUGGGGUCCCGUCUCGCCGGUCGGUAGUCGAAUGCGGUGGACUGCGUGCAGUGCGCCGCGACCGCUGCCGGUCGCAGGGAUGGUGAUUUCGCACGACGCGCCAAGGACGCUGGCGGUCAAAUGGCCUCAUUCGACCCGUCUUGAAACACGGACCAAGGAGUCUAACAUGUGCGCGAGUCUUCGAGUGAAUGAAGCUCGCCGGCGCAAUGAAAGUGAAGGCGGCGUCGUGCCGCCGAGGCGAGAGCCCGGCCCUCGGGACGGGCGCAUCGUCGACCGACCUAUUCUGCUCUCAGGAAGGUUUGAGUGGGAGCGCACCUGUUGGGACCCGAAAGAUGGUGAACUAUGCUUGAAUAGGGUGAAGCCAGAGG
Molecule: ribosomal RNA, 703 nt
Filed under: Hormathiidae sp. AT41-18-110
Lineage: Eukaryota; Metazoa; Cnidaria; Anthozoa; Actiniaria; Hormathiidae
Also listed under: 1 other name
Description: partial 28S ribosomal RNA
Rfam family: Eukaryotic large subunit ribosomal RNA
Source: RNAcentral